GUGCAGCAGGCGCGAAACUUUACAAUGUGCGAAAGCACGAUAAGGGAACUCUGAGUGCCUCCUAAGGAGGCUGUUCAGGUGUCUAAAAAGCACCUGGAGUAAGGGCUGGGUAAGACCGGUGCCAGCCGCCGCGGUAACACCGGCAGCCCAGGUGGUAGCCACUUUUAUUGGGUCUAAAGCGUCCGUAGCCGGUUGAGUAAGUUCCUUGGGAAAUUUGGCUGCUCAACAGUCAAGCUUCCAGGGAAUACUGCUCGACUUGGGACUGGGAGAGGUCAGAGGUACUCCAGGGGUAGGGGUGAAAUCCAUUAAUCCCUGGGGGACCACCGGUAGCGAAGGCGUCUGACCAGACCAGGUCCGACGGUGAGGGACGAAGGCUAGGGUCGCGAACCGGAUU
RNAcentral lists this ribosomal RNA (394 nucleotides) under uncultured microorganism. RNAcentral describes it as "bacterial SSU rRNA". It matches the Rfam family "Archaeal small subunit ribosomal RNA", at positions 330 to 730 of the family's 1478-position model. The record is from RNAcentral.